UGAAAAGAAGGUAGAAAGAAAAUUAGUUAAAUUAGUUUUGCAACUAGUGCAUUUCAUGCGGCUAAAAUUUAUCAUUUUAAAGGUUUUCAAUCGAGUAGAGUUAGGGUAUAAUGUGAGUGAGAGAACGGCGGUACGGCGGAAAUUGCGAGACGAACACUUUUGAGGUUUAGAACUGGUUUUCGAGUGUCAGUGAGGGGUACUGAGAGAGCGAGUGCAAUGUGGCCAGAGAAUGGGAAUUUAGAGGUAGAGAAUGAGCGUCGGGAUGGAGAAUGAGAGAUACGCCGUGGUAGGAAGGUCAAAACAGGUAUGGGGAGCUAUGUUCUAUGGCUGUUUAAGUAUUUUACUUGUGUUCUAUUUUUGGUUUGGGAUUGUAUGGUUGUGAUGAUAGUGAGUUGAAUUGGAUGUUUCUAUAAUUCUGAAGUAUUUGUAAAAGGGUAUGGUGUGAUUGUUGUUUGUCCAGUAUUGUUGAUCUCAAACAGAAAAUGUUAAACUCUGGAACCGUUGGUUGUCUCUAAAGUAAUGUUAAUCUGUGAAAUGUUGAGUAUUGGUCUAAAACAAUAGGUAGUCUAAAUGGAGUAACUUGUGAUUGCGUAAUUACUUGGCAGACUUUGAAAUUAUGUGAGAUUCGGGAACAUUGUAUUGUUUGGAAUAUUUUAUUUUAAAUUGAAAAUGAACUUAUAAGCAAAGAAAUGUUUAUUAUAUCAAUCAAUGCUCGGGUUGGAUAUUUUUAUAAUGUGAUUGUGCUUUCCGUGUUUGAGCAUGGUUGAUAUGCAUUUACAAACGACUGGGCAUGUGUUUAGAGUUAAAUUAAAUUAUGAAUGGCUGUAUGAACUGAAUUGAGUUAAACUGAAACCUUAUUAGGCAGUUCAGAAACUUGAUAAUGUAGUGAUCACAUCGUUCUUGUUCUGUUUUACUCGCCUGUUAAUCAAUUAAAGGAAACAGAUCUGUUUUGGGGUAGUAGGCGAAAGCUGAAUGAAGUUUUAUAAUGAGAUAUUAGGGGCUGGUGGGUUAUAAUAGGUUGAGAGUAACUGGGCAUUAGACGUUGACGUGCCAAGUUGGUUGGACAUGCUACUUGUUACAUGAUACUCAUAUAUGACUGGAUGAUUUGAUUACUUGCGUUUUCUGGAAUGAAUUUGAGUAAUAGUAAGUUUAUCAGUGAUUACUAGGUGAGACUUUGAUGGAAAAAUGGUUUUAAGCUAAGGCCAGGUUAUGCUAUACGUAUAUACUGUUGAAUGAAUGCACUGAUCUUGCCAUUUGAAACUAAUCAGUAAGACAUGAUUAAUUGGUAAAUGUGCAUGUUCUAAUCAUCCUGAAAGGAAAAUAUGGUUGAACUAAAUAGGAUAGUUUGGUAAUCUGAUUGUGAAGAAUGGAAAACUGAAUGUAUAAGGUCCGUUUACGAAUGGUUAAUUAUGUAUGGAGAAUGUCUCUCUGUGAAUGUUUGCCAAUCACGUAUUGGAUGCCAGGUUGCAACUGAACACUGUAGGGUGUAUUUGAGCAUGGGUAGAAUGUGUAAUUCUGCCUUAGGAGCAGAUUGAUAAAGGGUGGAGACGUUAAUUUGAUUGAGUACCUUGCAUCAGUUUAAAUGAUGUUUUAAAGUGGAUGAAUGCAUAACUGACAAUGUGUAAUAUGUAAAGUGGUUGUGGUGGGCGUGAAUGUUAUUUACGUGCAGAUCUCAGUGUGUUUGAUGAUGUAAUGCAGAUUUAUGACGGGUGUGUUAUGAUGAACUUGUUUUGGUAUUGCAAGAGUUUGCAACAUCACGUAUGGGGAUGAUGGUUAUGAACCUUACCUUAAAUUGUGACUGUGAUACUAUGCUCUGGGUUUUGGUAAAGUAUUGUAAACUGUUAAAUGUGAUAUGUGGCUGGUUGUAGAUAUUGCAAAGGUUGUACAUGUUUUAGGUUAUGUUCAAGUGAUCUAAAUUAGUCAUAUUGUAUUAUAAAUGAUCAUAGAAGUGUUAGAUUGAUUUGUGUAGUUUAUUGAUUGGUUUAAUAUGUUGCUGUGUUGUCUAUUCAAAUGGUCGUCUUUAGUAUGUAUUGGGAUUUUAAAAAAGAAUUGUAAUUUUAAUGUAUUGGGUUUCAAACAAUUUUGUAAUUGUGUACAUUUGGAUUUUCCUAUUGAGUUUUUUAAAUAUUAAAUAAUACUGGUUUAUUGUAUAAUUAAAAUCAAUUUAUUAUAGAAAUCAUUCUUGGGUUUUCGAAAUUGUUAAGGUUAAGUGACUUCUAAAUUUGGAGCGUUACAUUUGGUAUUAGAGUUAGGUUUUUGAAAAAAAAUUUGGACCGUGAGGAGUGAGUUCGUCUAGUUUCUAAUGAGCACUCUAAUUGUUGUAGAGUUUUAGGUUGUGAAUGAUUGAUUGAGAUGUAAUUGAUUGUUUAUGUAGUUGGUUCCAUACUUGACAUGAAUUUUGACCUUGAAAUUCCUUGAGUCUUUUGGAAUGUGAGUAUCAUGUGACUUGGGCCAUGCAUAAAGUUGAAUUUCCAUAUACAUAUUUGUCAUGAACCUGCUAAGGCUGGAUGGAUUAGUUAGUUGGAUGAGUUGAGUAUCGGGAGCUGACUUGUAUUUGGUUGUUUAGAUGCUUUGAAAUCUGCGUUCUUGUUUGUUCCUGAUUCGUAAUUAUGGUAUUGUUAGUACAUCGUAUGCAUAUUCAGUUGAUAAAGUGUGUGUCAUAUCAUUGAUUCUAAUUCUAUAAUGUUUGACGCCUUUAAGUUUUGUAAAGAUGACAAUUGAUUUGAAUUUGAGUUCUGGAAUUUGGAAGUACAUACUGUAUUCUGUUUCAAUUGUUAAACAAUGUGGAUUCUGGUUACGUGUUUUGAAAUUACUUCCUGGCUGAUAGCUUAUGUGGCCAUCUGAAUUUAAUAUCCUGCCAUGCUGGAUUUACUCUGUUUCUAUUGAUGUGUGUAGUAGAUAUGGACAAAUUCGUGAUAUAUGUAUAUGUUCUAUUUUGAGAAAAGAGAACUUUGAGUGUUAGAAUGGGAUGUAGAUGGUUAAACUUGGUGGACUGUGAUACGUAAUAUAUGGUGUACUUGAGUGGAUGGUUUGGUUCUUUUAAGCUGUAACAUAGUUUUCUUAAGAACUCAGAAAUUGUCAUGAAUGCUGUUAUGUGAUACAUUGACUGAAGAAUGCUUGACGUAUGCUUUAACUGGUUUGAAUUCAAAGCUCCUUGAAACUGUGAUAGUCUAGGUUCUAUAUUAAUAUAAGGGUCUUUUAUGCACAUGUCACAAAAAAGUCAGAAUUUGACCGUCUAGUUGGGGCGGACUAUUUGAACUAAACCAAAAUUGAAUGAAGAACUGCAUGUUACAAAAUGUUGUGGGUAGAAUGGAAUAAGGAGUUAUAUAAUGUUCUGAUAUGGGGGUAAGCUUUGCAUGAGAUGUAGGUAUGUAGAACAGGAUAUUGAAAUCUGAAUGAACUUAGUAUUUGACCCUAAAUCCUAAAAUGGUAUAAUACAAUUGUUAAUGACUCUCUCGGAAAUUGUUUUGACCUUGGUAUGGAAAUCUGAUUUUAUUUCUGAAAACAGAUUGCUUUGAAAUGUUAUAAUGUAUGCGUAAUAUGCUUGAUAAGAUUGUAUAUUGAGUGUAUGCAGUCAUUAUGGUGAAAUGCUAGUAAUUCUCUAUGUCCUGUAAUUAGCUGGGAUGAUUCUGGUGAAAUAAAGGGAUUAUUAGCUGAAUAACAGAUAUGCUAUAGUUGCCAUUUCAUGUGAGUAUAAGCUGUUUUCCAUAACCAUGAGGCAGAAAAACUGGCGGUGAUGUGUGGUUUUGAUAGAGAACUCUGCACUAGAGAACCUUGAAGUUUGACUUAAAUACUGCACCCAAAAUCCGUUUGUUUUGAACCCAAUAUCUUUCAUUAAAACGCUGCUGUUUUGCACUAGGCUUUUAGGCUCUUUUCUGCAUCAAAUAAGUGUUGUUCUGCAUUGUUGGCUGGCUGUUUAAGCAUUGUAUUAUUGUUGUUUUUACACUGUUUUAAUUACUGUUUCUGGACUAGAAAGUCUUGCUGUUUGGAUUAAAAUUUCUGCACCAAAACAUUGCUGUUUUGGUUAAAUUGCUGCAGGGAAUUCUUUGCUGUUUAGAAUAAAAAUCUGUAGAAACUAGGUGCUGUUUUAGAAUAAGUAUCUGCAGAACAUUGGUGCGGUUUUAGAAUAUAAAUCUGCAGAAAAUUGGUGCUGUUUUAGAAAGAACUCUGCUGAAAAUUUUUUGCUGUAUAAGAUGGCUUUGGAUUCAUGUCUGUUUAAUAUUAGGAAAAGAGUAUAAUAUAUUUCAAAUAGAAGUAGGCUUAACUCUGGAACAAUAAUCUGAUUUAUGUUGUUCAAAACCUUUAUGCAUACUAGUGUGUGACUUAUGGAUGUCCGAAUUAUAAUUGGCAUUAUUUCAGCAAAAAUAUGAUUGAAUGUGUUAUGGUAUACGUGUUGGAUGAUGGAAUACUGUCUUGGUUUGCCUUGACAAAUUUUCUUUGAGUAUCAAUGGGUAUACUAAAAAAUUUGCAUUACAACAUACUAAAACAACACAUUAAAACACAACGCCACUGUUAGAUGGUAGAACUGAAAGUGAUUACAAAUUGGAAAUGCAAAACCAAAGUACAAAGAUUGAAUAUUGAAAAGCUAUAUGUUCCUUCGACACAAAGGACAAGUGUGAUUGAUGUCGAGCCAUUUUUUGAUGCAGUGGUGAUGAAAGAUAUGAGAACAUGGGUGGGGUAUGCGAAUUGCUCUUGAUCCAAUUGCAAUUUCCUCAAGACAUAUACUGCAGGAAUCUUCUGUUUUUUCUUCAAUUAUAAACUUUUCAAGAUUUUUCAAAGAAUUAUAGUUGUUUUGCACGGAAUCAAAGAUCAAAACAUUAUCUUGGUUUGAUCUUAAACUUCUAUUGUUAUUGUUUUGCAUGUUGCUGCCACCCAAGCUCAUGGAAUCAAAGAUAUAAACUUCACCAUCUUCUUCACCUGAUCUUAAAUUUCCACUAUGGGCGAUAUUGCGGUGAUCCUGAAUCACAAAUUCGAUGAUAAAGCCAUCAUCUUCAAUUGACCACUGCAUUGUCAUUCCUGUUACACAAAAAAGAUAGGAGAAAUCAAAACUUGAAAGAUCGAAUGGGGUAGUUUAUUAAGAAAAGAGUACACAAAAUCAUUUGAAAAAUCUAAUAACUUGUUUGAUGUAGGAGAGUUCCUCACUUUGAGAUCACCUUAUACUAUAGAGUUAACUUUUGUUUUGAGAGUUUGAAGCUUUUCUUUCUUUUUUCUCACAAUGAAAUGAAUGACUCAUGGAAGGUAGUAUAUAUAAUAAAAUUUAAUGAAAUAUAAUAAAUUAAAAGAUACAAUCUUGACAACUAUAGUCAUAUACAAAUUAACGUAAUUAAAUAAUAUAUUAUUAAAUUACAUUUAAGUUGGUUUCAUGUAUAGUCAUUAUUCAAAGUCAAAUCAUAAUAGAUAUAGUAAAUUGAAAAUGAUAUUAGUUAGUUAGAUAUUAAUUGGACUCUGAGUAAUGUAUCUUGAUUAUAAUUUUACAUUUAAAGUAUAAAAAAGGAAACAUUAAUAAUAGAAAAAUACAACCUUAUCUAUAUUUAAUUUGAUUAUCAUAUACAAAUUAUAGUAAUUAAGUAGUAUAUUAUUAAAUUGCAUUUAAGUUGGUUUCAUUAUUCAAAAUCAAAUCAAAAUAGUUAGACUAAGAAUUAAAAGAUAUUAGUUAAUUACAUAUUAAUUAGGCUCUAAGUAAUGUAUCUUGAUUAUAAUUUUACAUUUAAAAUAUAAAAAAAAGGAAACUUUAAAAAUAGAAAAAGUAAUCUUAUAUAUAUUUAAUGUUGGCUGGCUGUUUCGGCGUGUUGUAUUAUUGCUGUUUUUACAUUGUUUUUAUUACUGUUUAUGGACUAGAAAGUCUUGCUGAUUGGAUUACAAUUUCUGCACUAAAAGAUUUUUGUUUUGAUUAAAUUGCUGCAGGGAAUUCUUUGCUGUUUAGAAUAAAGAUCUGCGGAAACUUGGUGCUGUUUUAGAAUAAAUAUCUGCUGAAAAUUGGUGCUGCUUUAGAAAAUAAAUCUGCAGAAAAUUAGUGCUGUCUUAGAAAAAACUCUGCUGAAAAUUUUUUGUUGUAUGAGAUGGCUUUGGAUUCAUGUUUGUUUGAUAUCAGGAACAUUAGGGCAUGACAAAAACAACCGAUCUUAACUGUAUUAAAACUGAACUUACAUAAGUGUAAUUGUCAUCCACUUUUUUCUAA
This 6178-nucleotide long non-coding RNA is filed under the name Vigna radiata. RNAcentral's name for it is "long non-coding RNA (VRAD_LNC001057)". Lineage: Eukaryota; Viridiplantae; Streptophyta; Magnoliopsida; Fabales; Fabaceae. The record is from RNAcentral.